AUUGAACGCUGGCGGCAGGCCUAACACAUGCAAGUCGAACGGCAGCACAGAAGAGCUUGCUCUUUGGGUGGCGAGUGGCGGACGGGUGAGUAAUGUCUGGGAAACUGCCCGAUGGAGGGGGAUAACUACUGGAAACGGUAGCUAAUACCGCAUAACGUCGCGAGACCAAAGUGGGGGACCUUCGGGCCUCACACCAUCGGAUGUGCCCAGAUGGGAUUAGCUAGUAGGUGGGGUAAUGGCUCACCUAGGCGACGAUCCCUAGCUGGUCUGAGAGCAUGACCAGCCACACUGGAACUGAGACACGGGCCAGACUCCUACGGGAGGCAGCAGUGGGGAAUAUUGCACAAUGGGCGCAAGCCUGAUGCAGCCAUGCCGCGUGUAUGAAGAAGGCCUUCGGGUUGUAAAGUACUUUCAGCGGGGAGGAAGGCGGUGAGGUUAAUAACCUCGCCGAUUGACGUUACCCGCAGAAGAAGCACCGGCUAACUCCGUGCCAGCAGCCGCAGUAA
This 506-nucleotide ribosomal RNA is filed under the name uncultured bacterium. Its description in RNAcentral is "partial 16S ribosomal RNA". It matches the Rfam family "Bacterial small subunit ribosomal RNA", at positions 29 to 523 of the family's 1533-position model. The record is from RNAcentral.